CGCCCCGCUCGCGUCGGAGCUGCGGAGCGGCGAGAUUGCGGUGGGACCAUGGCUGCGCUGAGGGACUGCAAGGCCUGGCAGGAUGCUGGACUUGUCCUGUCCACGACCAGCAAUGAAGCCUGUAAGCUCUUCGAUGCUGUGCUGACACAGUAUGCAACUUGGACCAAUAAUGAGAGCCUUGGAGGUAUUGACGGGUGUCUCUCCAGGCUAAAGGCAGCAGAUCCAAACUUCACGAUGGGACAUGUCAUUGCCAAUGGCUUGGAGCUGAUUGGCACUGGAAGGACUGUGAGACUCGACAAGGAGCUGGACAGCGCUGUGAGAGCCAUGGUGGCACUUUCCAAGUCACAGCCACUGACAGAGCGGGAGAGGCUUCAUGUGUCAGCACUGGAUGUGUUUGCCAAGGGCCAACUUCCAAAAGCUUGUGAUCUAUGGGAGCAGAUUCUGCAGAACCACCCAACUGAUCUGCUAGCCCUCAAAUUUUCCCAUGACACUUAUUUCUACCUGGGAUAUCAACGUCAGAUGCGAGAUGCUAUUGCCCGUGUUUAUCCUUUCUGGACACGUGAUGUUCCACUGAGCAGCUACGUGAAGGGCUACUACUCUUUUGGACUCAUGGAAACAAACCUUUAUGACCGUGCUGAGAAGGUUGCCCAUGAGGCUUUGGCUAUAAAUCAGACAGAUGCGUGGUCUGUCCAUACUAUAGCUCAUGUAAAUGAAAUGAAAGCAGAGGUGGAGAAAGGCUUAAAAUUCAUGAAGGAAACAGAAAAGAACUGGAAGAGCAGUGAUAUGCUUGCCUGCCAUAAUUACUGGCACUGGGCUUUAUACUACAUUGAAAAGGGGGAAUAUGAAGCUGCUUUGACAAUUUAUGACAAGCAUAUUGCUCCCCGGUGCCUAACAAGUGGAAGCAUGCUGGAUAUAGUUGAUAACUGUUCAAUGCUCUACAGGCUUCAUCUGGAAGGUGUAAAGCUUGGGGACAGGUGGAAUCAUCUGCUUGGGAUUACAAAGAAGCACACCAAGGAUCACAUUCUUCUGUUCAAUGAUGCACACUUCUUGAUGUCUUUCCUUGGAGCCAAAGACCACAAAGCUACUGAGGAGCUUUUAACAACUCUGCAGGAACUUGCCAGAGCACCUCAUGAAGACCACCAGCUUUCCCUGGCUCCUAGUUUGGGGCUGCCACUGUGCCAGGCUUUUGUAGAGUUUGAAAAUGGGAAUUUUGACAAAGCUGUAGACCUGCUGUACCCAAUCCGUUAUGAACUAAUCCGAGUGGGAGGCAGUGAUGCUCAGAGAGAUGUCUUCAGCCUGUUACUGAUUCAUGCUGCUUUAAAUUCUAAAUCAAAGGCCAAACAAAACCUUGCAAGGUGUCUCCUGCAUGAACGUGAUGUGAUGAGACCAAACUCACCAAUGACUGAGCGGCUGAUGAGGAAGGCAGCAGCCGUGCAUUGCAUGGCAUAGGGUUUUCCUUCAGCUGAAGAGCCAGAAGCUUUCCACAAAGUCUGGGUGCAGGGAGUGCAGGGGUACUGUGAAGCAUCCAGACACCUCUCAGAUUUCCAGAAGCUGCUGAAGUGGACAAGACAGUAAUAUUCUUCAGAAAGUCAUCAGCUACAAAUCAAGCAGAGCCGGGGUAAGGGAGAUUCCUUCCAACUUGUAAAUUGGUAAACGAAAAGGUAAGAGCAACAGACUGAAACUUGUUCAUUGAGAACUUACUGACGAUGGUGAGACCUUGGCACAGGCUGCCCAGAGAUGCUGUGGCUGCCCCAUCCCUGGAAGUGUCCAGCAACCUGGGAUAGUGGAAGAUGUCCCUGUCCAUUGCAGAAUGCAUGAGCUUUAAGGUCUCUUCUAACCCAAACUACUCCACCAUCCUCUAGACUUGGCAAUGUUGAACUGUGCCUGCUUAGCUUAAUUACCUCAUUGCAGGAGGAUAUAAAGUAUGCACCAUUACAUCUUU
RNA transcript from Catharus ustulatus (Swainson's thrush), 1942 nucleotides. It is a transcript of the gene named tetratricopeptide repeat domain 38, with no coding region annotated. NCBI's taxonomy places the organism in Eukaryota, Metazoa, Chordata, Aves, Passeriformes, Turdidae. The record is from RefSeq and is a predicted model, not a curated record. The transcript is spliced from 15 exons.